This 45-nucleotide non-coding RNA is filed under the name Schistosoma mansoni. Lineage: Eukaryota; Metazoa; Platyhelminthes; Trematoda; Strigeidida; Schistosomatidae. The record is from RNAcentral.
ACCUAGCUGACGAGUCCCGAGUAGGACGAAACGGGUGUCCUUGAU